AGUUUGAUCCUGGCUCAGAACGAACGCUGGCGGCAGGCUUAACACAUGCAAGUCGAACGCCCCGCAAGGGGAGUGGCAGACGGGUGAGUAACGCGUGGGAAUCUACCCAUCUCUGCGGAAUAGCUCUGGGAAACUGGAAUUAAUACCGCAUACGCCCUACGGGGGAAAGAUUUAUCGGGGAUGGAUGAGCCCGCGUUGGAUUAGCUAGUUGGUGGGGUAAAGGCCUACCAAGGCGACGAUCCUUAGCUGGUCUGAGAGGAUGAUCAGCCACACUGGGACUGAGACACGGCCCAGACUCCUACGGGAGGCAGCAGUGGGGAAUAUUGGACAAUGGGCGCAAGCCUGAUCCAGCAAUGCCGCGUGGGUGAAGAAGGCCUUCGGGUUGUAAAGCCCUUUUGUUGGGAAAGAAAAGCAGUCGGUUAAUACCCGAUUGUUCUGACGGUACCCAAAGAAUAAGCACCGGCUAACUUCGUGCCAGCAGCCGCGGUAA
RNAcentral lists this ribosomal RNA (490 nucleotides) under uncultured bacterium. Its description in RNAcentral is "bacterial SSU rRNA". It matches the Rfam family "Bacterial small subunit ribosomal RNA", at positions 10 to 523 of the family's 1533-position model. The record is from RNAcentral.